RNAcentral lists this ribosomal RNA (253 nucleotides) under uncultured bacterium. Its description in RNAcentral is "partial 16S ribosomal RNA". It matches the Rfam family "Bacterial small subunit ribosomal RNA", at positions 524 to 776 of the family's 1533-position model. The record is from RNAcentral.
UACGUAGGGCGCAAGCGUUGUCCGGAAUUAUUGGGCGUAAAGAGCUCGUAGGUGGCUUGUCGCGUCUGCCGUGAAAGCCCAUGGCUUAACUGUGGGUCUGCGGUGGAUACGGGCAGGCUGGAGGCUGGUAGGGGCAAGCGGAAUUCCUGGUGUAGCGGUGAAAUGCGCAGAUAUCAGGAGGAACACCGGUGGCGAAGGCGGCAUCCUGGACCGGUAUUGACACUGAGGCGCGAAAGCCAGGGGAGCAAACGGG